AGAGAAUGAAACAAAAAAAAUUAUCAGCUACUACACAGGGCAAGGCAAAGCAUGUAUGUGAACCAUAAGAGGUGGUCUGCAGUUCUCUGAAGAGACAGUAACCAUUGUGCUGUAUCACAGGUGCAACUUCUGUUAAGGAUCAAUAAGCCAAUGACAAUUUGAUGUCCAAAGGAACAGCAAUACGAAACUAAAUGGUUUUGGUUGGAUUCGCAUCAAGUCCACAAAGUGACAAAUACUGACUGAAAAAUGCCUUUUAGGCAGUUACUAUAUGGCAAUACUUUUCUGAAACAAAUGGAACCAAGUCCAAGAGAAAGAAGCAAUGGUUACAGCACUACAGAAGAAAGAAGAAAAAGGCAGGAAGUGAAAAGGAUGAAAGCCUGCCUUUAGAAGUAUUUGGAAAGAUCUUGACGACAGAGUAAAAACAAAAGGGGUGAAAGAGUUAAGCUAUGCAACAAAAAAAGCACAAUAAUAUCCCCAAGUAAAUCUUUAAUUGCCCACUUCCCAGUGAUAUACUUUUGUAGUUUUCAUUAGAACAGAAGUACAUUCACUAAUUCCCAGAAAACUGAUUUAUUAGCUUAAAUCUAGAACUGAGUGAAAAAUAUUUUCCAAUUCUUAGUUCUACAAACUAAUAGCCACUUUUACCAAAAAUUUAAAUGUAACUUAAAAUAUUUGGCUUUCAAGUUACUGAAUUUUAAUUUUAUCAGCUACUAAAUUACAAUAGAUAGAAUGAGAUACAAAAAUAAAUUUUGAAGAGAUAAGUGAGUCUCUGCAGCACAUUUUCACACACAGAAGAAUUUCCUCACAGCUUUUUUUCAAAUACAAAAUGUUCUCAAAGCUAAUACUGGCAUAUUGGCAUAAAUACACUAUUUCCUGAAGUCA
Zonotrichia albicollis (white-throated sparrow) is the source of this 879-nucleotide long non-coding RNA. RefSeq lists it as uncharacterized. NCBI's taxonomy places the organism in Eukaryota, Metazoa, Chordata, Aves, Passeriformes, Passerellidae. The record is from RefSeq and is a predicted model, not a curated record.